GACUAAGCGUACACGGUGGAUGCCCUGGCAGUCAGAGGCGAUGAAGGACGUGCUAAUCUGCGAAAAGCGUCGGUAAGGUGAUAUGAACCGUUACAGCCGGCGAUGUCCGAAUGGGGAAACCCAGUGCAAUUCGUUGCACUAUCGUUAACUGAAUACAUAGGUUAACGAGGCGAACCGGGGGAACUGAAACAUCUAAGUACCCCGAGGAAAAGAAACCGGCCGA
Molecule: ribosomal RNA, 223 nt
Filed under: Klebsiella variicola subsp. variicola
Lineage: Bacteria; Pseudomonadati; Pseudomonadota; Gammaproteobacteria; Enterobacterales; Enterobacteriaceae
Description: partial 23S ribosomal RNA
Rfam family: Bacterial large subunit ribosomal RNA
Source: RNAcentral